UCAACUGUCUGGGUGAGAGAUGAAAUGAUAAUACUGGUUAAUGUUUGAUCAUGAAUGCUAAACCAACGUUCAACUUGAAGCAGUCAGUUGGGAUAAUGUACAUCGUACAUGUACAACAUACCCACAGACUGAUUCAUUCAUAGAUCAACAAAUUGAUUAAUUGCUGGAAGGAUUAAAUUAUCGAUGUACAAAUUGACCGACCAACUAAAUGCACAAACAGAAACCAGGCACUUUUUAAUUUGAGAAAUGGCAACACACUUUCCAAUCCCUGAAGUCGCUUAAAAGUUUUGCAAAUAUCAUUUGUUAGCUCAGAAACAUUUACCGAAAUAUUGUUUUAGUCUUAACUCUACAUAUUUUUAAAAAGUCUGUUAUUCUUGUCUCAAUCCAAGGAAUUUUUUAAAGCGAGCAACAAGGUAACUUUUACUUUCUUUUCGUAAUAGAAUAUUGCACACUGAAUCAAAAAGUACCAGUACAUUUGUGUCGCAAAAAAAAAAAAGCUUUCAAGGUAAUUUUACCUGAUUUACCCAAAGCCCCCAAGAAACCCAGUGCACAUGAAUAUACAAUGUAUGUUCAUAGAGGUCAUCAAUUCUAGGAAUGUUGUCCUACCUUCAUGUGACUGAAUUUCAGGGAUGUACAUGUACUAACCCAGGCCAUUCAGUCAAGCAUAGGCUACCCUGCUUUAAUAUGCCUCAAUGCUGAGCGACAAUCUGGGUCGCUCCCUAGUGUUUGUGCUCCUGAGUGUAAACCAAUCAGAUUGUCUGGCCACAGUGAAGCACAGUCUACCACAGGAAUGAUGAAGUUUAAAAAUAGAAAUAGGAAAAAAAGGUCCACGACACAAAUAUUUUACAAAGGAUGGGAAGGUAUCUCGGAGGCAUGCGGAGGGAUUUGUACGUGUUGAUCUGGGGCUGGUAGGCGUGCGAGGCUUGAUUGAAUGAGUGUGGCUUAUCAGUGUCUUCUUUGGAGGCAGUCUGGCAUCUCACGGAAAAUUUGUGCAUCUUCCAGCGUGCCGGGGGGAGCACGCACAUGAACUUGUCUGGCCAGGACUUACAGGUGUAUGCGUGACAAUGAUGUGAAAUUCACACCCUAUACGAACAGUUCUGGGUUGCCAGUGUUUGCUUGUAUGUGUGUGGAAGACAGACGAGAGAUGAACUGCAGUUUAUGAAACCUGAAGUUGUUUGUAAGCACUGAGAAAAAAAGGUAAUACAACUGCAACCAUUGGAAGGAAACUGGGGCUCUCCAUUUACGUAACGGAUUUAAAUGAGACGGGUCUGGUAACCACAUUCUCAUUCAGGCCAAAACACAAGCCAUCAGUUCACCAUGGGCGAUUCCAGACUAGCCACCAAGGUCCUGUUGGCGACUAUUAUUGUUCUUUUCACCAUUGCAGCAACGGGCAUGUCUAAGCUCUCGGCCCUGACCAUGGUCGUGAUAGCCUGCCUGGUCUUCUCCACCACACUGAUCGCCAUGAUGUUUGACAAAGCCAUCCUGCACUUUGCCACGGGGAAAGGAACAAACCAGGCUGACAAAGAGACUAGCACAGCCACGACUGCCAAGACGGAAUGAUGUUGGCAGGCAGGAAAUCAUGAGGCAAACUGCAUGCCUGAUCUCCUCUUCAUCUCAACUGUUCUUCCCCGUUUGACCGGUGAAAGUCGGGCUGUGUGGUUGUCUGGCAAUGAUGCCAAGGACUGAAGACAAACCCCAGUUAAAAAAAAAAACUUCAUUAAUGAUCUGGUUAGAUAGAAUAACAACCAGAUACAAACCUAUGGCCCCAAAACUGUCAAUGAUGUCUCGUUCUUAGAAACCAUCCAGUGUAUGAUGAAUAUCAUGGGUCAUGAUGUUCCACUUGUAGUGGUGAAACUACAAAAUGUACAAGGUCAUGUAUAGCACAAUGAACACAUACACUGUACAUGUACCGUUCCAUGUACAGUGUAAUGUUAGAAAUCACUCAAUGAUCUAGCAUCCGCAGCUGUUUGGACUUUAUGAAGGUAUCUGCAGACUCACACGGAACAUUAUACAAUCAGAUUAUCGAAUAUCCCAAACGAAUGCAAGGUUGGACAUGCAACCAAGUCAGACUGAGUGAAAUUGUCUCUAACACACCAUGUCCUAUGCUUGAUAGACAUCAGACAACAAAAUGACAUGUCUGAAUCACACUUAUUACACAUUAAGGGGUCAAAUGUGGAAAAAAAGUAGAGUUUCAAGUCCACAAUCAAAACGGUGUUCUUAGUGCAGGAGUUUGUUUCUAUCGAAAGUGGACUGAUGGGAUGGCAUGCCACACGUACAUGUAUUUCUCAAAUUUGAAAAACCAGCCUGCCACUAUUGCAUUGCAUGGACAAGUCAGUCACACUUUCUACUGAUCAUCCGCACUGGUUCAAAUACUUUUAAACAACUGUUGGGAACUUGGGCUUGCUUUUCAAGGCUACGGUAUUUGGUACAUGUACAUGUAUGAAAUGUACCUGACAAAGUAUGGAGGGCCACAUCUCUCAGUGAAAAGAAAGGAAACAAAAACAAUCUGACAUAGGCAGAUAUUUGUGAGGCUACUCAACAACAUGAGAAGUUGUGAAAGUAAGUUCUGACUCGAUAGCCUUGGCACAUAUGCUACUCAGAGUAAACCAAAUUGGAAAUGUCAAGUUUUUGCCAACAUUAUUUCCACAUCCAUCUGAAUGUCACACAUGGGUAAUACCCACAAAGUAUGUUUUUUAAUGUGUACAAAAAAUUCGGACUCAUUUUGUUGGAUCAAUUGAUAUUUUAAACACGACUGACAUCUAUCUGGUAUAAUGUACUGGGUUACUGGUUCAGUUUACAAACAUGAAAUCUCUCUUGCUUUGAACCCAAUGAGGAGAAAUAAAAUGGCAUGUCACAUACAUGACAUCACUGAUUCCAAUAUGCUACACAUUACAUGCGGAUGUGCUUGUGGACACAGCAAGCGUGCAUGGUACAUGUCAUUCAUGAUACAGAGUUGAACGUGAGCCCCUUAAGUUGGAAUGCCCGCCUCCAGCUUGGGAGACAACCUCUGCAUGCCUGGGAUGAACUCUGCUGGAAUCUUCUAGUCUGAUGAUCCCCCCAAAAAACCAACCGAUGUAAAAGAGGGCCACCGCCGAUAGUGGGCGAGGAAAUGCGCACAUGCCUGCAUCUUCAUUGGCAUCUGAGCCCAGGCACAGGCCGGCAAUCGCUGCUGUGAUGAUGUGUACAUGUCAGACAUUCGAGGAGCCCUGGACAAAUACACCAAAGGCAAUCUGAGGCCUGCAAUGUCUGGACGGCCGUCUUUCUCUUCAAUUGAAAUUGUUGCCAAGUACUAAAGCCUUCUGAUUCGCAGAAAUCUGUGAGGUUUAAUUGAGUUCAAUAGGUACCAGACAGAGUUUUGCUUUUAUGGAAGAACUGUGUCUCAACCUUUGUUUAAUUCCACCAAAAAACCCACAACCUGAACUGCUUGGCACACAUUAUAAAAAGAUGAAGUGUCUCUUUUUCAAGGGUUAACUCUACACACUGGUACCAGCAUGUCAUUUCAUACUUCUGUUCUCUAGAAUCAGAUUUUAGAAAUCCGUCGUUCCAUCAGUUACAAGUAUCGGUAUGUCAGUGCUUUUACGUCUGUCCACGAUGAUUUGUGUGACUUUGUGAUAUUUUUGUUCUGGAAACAAACAUUGUUACAGGUAAGAGUGACUGUAAUUUUUCGUCACGUAAAAUUGUUUAGAAAUUCAUGUAGUCUGACAUUUUCAUAACGAAAUUACACGUGAGCUUAAGAAAAGUUCUUGUUUGUUCUUAAUGUUGAGUACGAAGAAGUAAAAGGAGAUAGAAACAGGGAUAAGCAAAAUGUAAUGAGUUUUUUAAAAAUCUUUAGCUGGAAAACAUGCAAAAGACAGUUUGUAGGAAACUUUGCUUGUAAAGUGGCUUUAAUACAGUUCUUCCCACCACGCACUGCUAAUUUGCAUAAUCCUUGAUCUGAAGUUUAAUAACUCCUAAACUUUCUUAGAGCACGAUAAACAUGUAAGUGCACAUGCAGCAUUAGAUAUGGCAACAUUGCGAGGGUUGAACAGGUUCCAGAGCUGCAUUGCAAGGAAAUACCGGUAGAAAAUGUAGUCAAGCAAAUUUCCCAUCUGUGCAAAAAUAACAAAUCAGCUAAAACCAAUAUCUGUUGUGUAUGUCCAUGCUGGAAAAGCCCCCAGACUGAAUGGCCUAUGGUUCAUUCAGGUUUCUGAAAACAGACUGUCUCCAGCCUUUAUCACAGGUGGAAUCAAGUCAGUCAAGAGCCAAUUCCAAGUCAGUUCACAAAGAUAGUAUUAACGAGUCGGUUCACAAAUCAGGUUAGAAUUGAGUCAUAUGAACAACGAAACAGGAAUACCCUUAAUUCAAAUACAUGUAGCUUGUGAACUGACUUCAGACUCAAUGACUAGUGACUGACUUGUGACUGGCUUGUGACUGACUCAACUACAACUUUGGCCUUUAUCUUCUACGGUACAUAUUGGGUAAUCAAUACACCAAGCAUUCUCAAUAUCGGGUUUCCUGAUUUAUCAAUUUUCUGAAAAAAUCCAAUAUUCAUGGACCUGAGCGUGAGCAAAUUCGCAAAGUCCGGCAAGGCCUUCACCUGUGAACGUGCACUGUACCAUGCAGGUGUACAUAUUCCUCAGCAGGUACCAUGUACAUGGCACUACCUGAAACCAGUCCGAAACAGAGAAACCAACUGCCAUGGAUACACAUACAUGAGUAUGUUUAUUUUCACCUGUCACCACGUCACUGCACAGACUUCCGAAGAAGUGAAGGGCUACAAUGUAUAACUGAUGUAACGUAUGACGUCUAAACCUAGUUUUGCUGUGCCCCAGACCUGCUGACAUUCAUGUACAUUUUUUUAACCUCAAGUUUCCAAAUAGGAAAAUAUACAAGUACAGAGUGACGUCAAUGUUUUACCUGCCCAUAUGUCAAGCGACACACAACGUUGUAGAAUAUUUCUUCCCAACCCCUGCUAUGGACUUAAGCAUCAUAUCACCAUAAUGCACAUGAUUUUUAGUUAAUAAUCAACGACAGUUUUUUUUACCAAUACAUUGUACAUGCACGACUGACUUGGUCGAUUUGGCCAAUUUCAAUGGCCAAAAAGGAAAAAAAACUCCUUUUAAAUUCACUGUUGAUGCUGUGAGUUCAUUUGUGUAAUGAAUAGGGAAACUGUACAUGUAUGUACUCAAAGUAAUAAACCUAUCUAAUUACACAGUAAUUAAAUAUAUACAUGUACACUGUACAUUUGCACAUGUAUGUACAUAAUGUAUCAUGUGUUGAAAUUGUAUCAGUUUUAGGGCAAAGCAGGCUAAAGAAUGAUGUCCUCUGUGACUGUAACUCACACUUUAAUGUACAAAUGUAAGCUUUACUUGUGCAAAAAGUGAAACUGGCUUUUAGCUGGAUGUUUUUAACCAAAUCACUUUUUACCCCGACUUUUUUAAAGCAUAUAAUUGUACAGUGAGGAGUUUUACACUUGCCUGGCUCAAACGAUAAUGCAGUUGCUUCGGAAGGGUUUGCCAACGUAUAGUUAGACAGGCAAAAUUUGAGACUAGUGCAGUUGCAACGUGUUGAAUGUUUAGUUUUGAGCAACUUAUGUAAUAAAACCGUUUGCAUCGAUAUUUUUUAAUGAAUGAAAAAUACCAUUAGAAACUGCUACAGAAUAUCAAUACUGAAAUGCCUACUGCCUACAGUAGGCAACUGUUUAAGUACAACAAUAGUUUAUUUCACGUUGUGUGUGUGGACUAAAUGUACAUGAAUGUCAAAGUUUUGAAUACAAUUGUACAAGAAAGUGAAAAAGGAAGUUUUACAUAAAAAAAAGUUGACUAAAUGUACAGUAACUUGUAAGACUUUUAAGCUUCAGGUAGCUUGGAAAAUAAAGCACCACUGUGCAAAGCUGAAACUCCAAUAAAAUAUUUUCAGUGGUUCAAAUGUAA
Acanthaster planci (crown-of-thorns starfish) is the source of this 5912-nucleotide long non-coding RNA. RefSeq lists it as uncharacterized. NCBI's taxonomy places the organism in Eukaryota, Metazoa, Echinodermata, Asteroidea, Valvatida, Acanthasteridae. The record is from RefSeq and is a predicted model, not a curated record.